GAAAUAUUCAGUUACAAAUUCAUUUUGUUUGCGGGCAGUCGAAACAUUUAAAAUGGGCAGAAUAAAAUUUAACGGAGUUUUCUUACUGAUGGUCCUUCAAAUAUUCUUGGUGGCUACAACAACUGGAGAUAAAACGUGUGAAUCAGACCGAAAAAUGGAAGAACAGUGCCGGAUUCAUACCUUUAAAACUGUAAAACCCUUGCUCGAUUAUUUCAGGCAGGUUAGAAAUGAGUUAGAACAAAGUGAAACUAAGGAAAAGCAGAUAAGUGAAUUAAAUUCUGAUCUUAUGGAAAAAUAUCAUGAAAUUGUGAGAAUUCAUGAAACAUUCAUAAAGGAAUCAGAUCUAUUAAAUGAGUAUAAAAACAAAGUAAUUAAAGGGGGAAAACGAUUUGCAAUUGUGUCAAAAUAAAGUUGAUAAAUCUGAAUCUGAAAUUAAUUCACAACAAAAUAUUAUUCUUAAAUUAAAAGAACAACUAACAGAUAAAUCCACCAACUUAGAAAAUUGUCAAGUUCAAUUAAAAUAUGUUAAUUCUAUAUUAAUUGAAAAAGAUGCAAAUAUAAAGAGAUUAAGUGAGAAUAUGAAGAGUAACAAAGAACAUCAGAAAUCACUUGAGAUAAAAUUAGAGAAGAGUAAAUCUAUAUUAAUAAAGCAUGAAAAUGAUAUUCAGUUAUGUCGUUCAGAAAUCAACAAAUUAAAUAGGACAUCAGAGAACAUUAGAGAAGAACAGAAAAAAGAUUCAAUUGAAAUUAAAAGAAAGUGAAACUAAGCUAAUAGAUAAAGUAAAGGAAAAUCAGUUAUGUCAAUCUGAACUUGAUAUAUUAAGUCCCACAACAUUGUUUUGUGCGAUAGUCAGUUAGCUGGACCUGGAUGGAUUGUAAUACAACAACUAGUUGGGGGAAGUGAGAGUUUCAAUAGGGAUUGGGCAACGUAUCGCAAAGGUUUCGGUUCUUUUGAAAGUGAUUUCUUUCUUGGAUUAGAGAAAAUUCAUCGUAUCACGAGCUUGCAGCGUAUCGAACUUUACAUACAUUUGGUUGCUGAGAAUGGAAGUGCCUACAACGUUCGUUAUGACGACUUCAAAAUAUCUGAUGAAGAUAAUGGAUAUGCACUGAGUUUGGGUAAAUCCAAUGGAACGCUUAUUGAGGAUGGCAUGAGAGACACUGAAAACAUGAAAUUCUCAACAUUCGAUCAGGACAACGACAAAGAUGAUGAUAAUAAUUGCGCAGUCUGGAAUGAAAGUGGCUGGUGGUACAAUUAUUGUUAUACUUGUCGUUUAAAUGCACCAUAUGGGCCAAAACUAGGAUGGUGGGAAAAGAAUUACAUUAUACUUAAAGAAGUUAAGAUUCUAAUUCGCCCCAAAGAAGAGAUGAAGAAGUGAUAAAUUGAAAAGCUGAAAUUCCCAUAUUUGACUCAAUUAUGAAUUUUUAUAUUUUUGUACAUAAUUUAUGCGACUUUAUUUUCGGUCGAAUGCCUGCGGCUGCUGACUGACCCUGAAGUCUCUCUACAAUCUACAAUCUACAAUCGCAACGCGAUAACAAUGCGCAUAAUUUACGCCCAAGCGAAUUUCGCUAACGCAAUGCUAACGUGUCUUUGUUUAAUUAGCCAAGUUCGCUGGCAUGCAGAAAUAACUUGAAAGCUCGCUUUGAUUAUCCAUCAGGCAUAAAGUUGCGCAAAUUGCCCAAUUACCAAAAUCGAUUUCACUCAUACUGAUGAGAAUGAAAGGUGAAUUGAAUGGGAAAAUGAAAGCAAAGAAUGGAAUGUAAGUGUCUGAGUCAGUCGACUGUCAUUGCUGGGGUAACUGACAGGCGGCAACCAACAACCGACAACCAACAGCCGACAACUGACGCACACAAAUCAACAGGAGAACAGAGUACAAAACUGAGAACAGAGAACUGAGCAUUGAAAGCGAAUUGAACGCGUGGCCAGUUCUUAAAUAAUAAACAUGGCCAGAAUAAACGUUGGAACUGUGGGCGGAGCUUAACGGUUGAACUCCCCCUCAACCAUUUCAUACCUUUCUCGACUAUAUUUUUAUUGUACUCUCGUAUUUAUUUACUGCUCAAACACCAACAGCCACACUGAGCAAAUAUUUAUUAUUUGCUUGGCGCGAUGCAUAUUGUAUAAUGCCACAAACAAAACUUGUACAUAAGAAAACGAACCGCAUCACAAGUGUAUUAAUUAAUAGUAAAACAUCCUCUUAAUUUAACUUGAAAUACAGCAUUCAUAAUGGUAAGAAUCACAGUUCUUAUAGAGUAUUUCUUAUUAUUAAUAAGGUGUUUUUAUUUCACCAUUUAUCAAAUAAAUCCGUAAUUUAUUUGAAAACUUAACUGUGAUGUGCCUGUUAAUUAUAUUGUGCAUUAUAUUUAAAUAAUGGUAGGAAUCU
Long non-coding RNA from Drosophila sulfurigaster albostrigata, 2378 nucleotides. RefSeq lists it as uncharacterized. The record is from RefSeq and is a predicted model, not a curated record. NCBI's taxonomy places the organism in Eukaryota, Metazoa, Arthropoda, Insecta, Diptera, Drosophilidae. The transcript has 5 exons.